AAGCAAUUAAACUUUAGUGGCGAACGGGUGAGUAACGCGUAAGCAAUCUGCCCCUAAGACGAGGAUAACAGUUGGAAACGACUGCUAAGACUGGAUAGGAGACAAGAAGGCAUCUUCUUAUUUUUAAAAGACCUAGCAAUAGGUAUGCUUAGGGAGGAGCUUGCGUCACAUUAGUUAGUUGGUGGGGUAAAGGCCUACCAAGACUAUGAUGUGUAGCCGGGCUGAGAGGUUGAACGGCCACAUUGGGACUGAGACACGGCCCAAACUCCUACGGGAGGCAGCAGUAGGGAAUUUUCGGCAAUGGAGGAAACUCUGACCGAGCAACGCCGCGUGAACGAUGAAGUAUUUCGGUAUGUAAAGUUCUUUUAUUAGGGAAGAAUAAAUGAUGGAAAAAUCAUUCUGACUGUACCUAAUGAAUAAGCCCCGGCUAACUAUGUGCCAGCAGCCGCGGUAAUACAUAGGGGGCAAGCGUUAUCCGGAAUUAUUGGGCGUAAAGGGUGCGUAGGCGGUUAAAUAAGUUUAUGGUCUAAGUGCAAUGCUCAACAUUGUGAUGCUAUAAAAACUGUUUAGCUAGAGUAAGAUAGAGGCAAGUGGAAUUCCAUGUGUAGUGGUAAAAUGCGUAAAUAUAUGGAGGAACACCAGUAGCGAAGGCGGCUUGCUGGGUCUUUACUGACGCUGAGGCACGAAAGCGUGGGGAGCAAACAGGAUUAGAUACCCUGGUAGUCCACGCUGUAAACGAUGAGUACUAAACGUUGGGUAAAACCAGUGUUGAAGUUAACACAUUAAGUACUCCGCCUGAGUAGUACGUACGCAAGUAUGAAACUUAAAGGAAUUGACGGGACUCCGCACAAGCGGUGGAUCAUGUUGUUUAAUUCGAAGGUACCCGAAAAACCUCACCAGGUCUUGACAUGCUUCUGCAAAGUUGUAGAAAUACAGUGGAGGUUAUCAGUUGCACAGGUGGUGCAUGGUUGUCGUCAGCUCGUGUCGUGAGAUGUUGGGUUAAGUCCCGCAACGAGCGCAACCCUUAUUGUUAGUUACCAGCACGUAAUGGUGGGGACUUUAGCAAGACUGCCAGUGAUAAAUUGGAGGAAGGUGGGGACGACGUCAAAUCAUCAUGCCCCUUAUGACCUGGGCUACAAACGUGAUACAAUGGCUGUUACAAAGGGUAGCUGAAACGCAAGUUUUUGGCGAAUCUCAAAAAAACAGUCUCAGUUCGGAUUGAAGUCUGCAACUCGACUUCAUGAAGUUGGAAUCGCUAGUAAUCGCGAAUCAGCAUGUCGCGGUGAAUACGUUCUCGGGGUUUGUACACACCGCCCGUCAAACCACGAAAGUUGGCAAUACCCAAAGCCGGUGGCCUAACUUCGCAAGAAGAGGGAACCGUCUAAGGUAGGGUCGAUGAUUGGGGUUAAGUCGUAACAAGGUAUCCCUACCGGAAGGUGGGGAUGGAUCACCUCCUUUCUA
This 1461-nucleotide ribosomal RNA is filed under the name Apricot atypic aster yellows phytoplasma AVUT. Its description in RNAcentral is "bacterial SSU rRNA". It matches the Rfam family "Bacterial small subunit ribosomal RNA". Lineage: Bacteria; Bacillati; Mycoplasmatota; Mollicutes; Acholeplasmatales; Acholeplasmataceae. The record is from RNAcentral.